GAUGAAGAACGUAGCGAAAUGCGAUAAGUAAUGUGAAUUGCAGAAUUCAGUGAAUCAUCGAAUCUUUGAACGCACAUUGCGCCCAUCAGUAUUCUGUUGGGCAUGCCUGUCCGAGCGUCAUUUCAACCCUCAGGGCCCGUUCGCGGGAACUGGUGUUGGGGAUCGGCCUCCCCCCGGAGGCCGGCCCCGAAAUGCAGUGGCGGCUCUACCGCGAUCUCCUCUGUGUAGUAGCGAUACCUCGCAGCUGGAUAGUGGUGGUGCCACGCCGUAAAAUCCCAACUUUACCAAGGUUGACCUCGGAUCAGGUAGGAAUACCCGCUGAACUUAAGCAUAUCAAUAAGCGGGGA
RNAcentral lists this unclassified non-coding RNA (347 nucleotides) under soil metagenome. RNAcentral describes it as "partial contains 5.8S ribosomal RNA, internal transcribed spacer 2, and large subunit ribosomal RNA". The stretch from base 1 to 120 matches the Rfam family "5.8S ribosomal RNA", at positions 35 to 154 of the family's 154-position model. The record is from RNAcentral.